CUCCUUCAAGCUUUCUAGUUUGGACUUGGGCGUGGGGGUACAUACCCUGCCCGAAAUAGUGGGUGGGAGCAGCUUGCUGUAGUUGACGCCAAUGAGUUAGGUUCUGCCAGUUCGUUGGAAAGACUAGGGGAGGUUGUUGCCGAUAAACAAGCCUAUUGUACCAAAA
This 166-nucleotide unclassified non-coding RNA is filed under the name Barnettozyma xylosica. RNAcentral's name for it is "partial internal transcribed spacer 2". Lineage: Eukaryota; Fungi; Ascomycota; Saccharomycetes; Phaffomycetales; Phaffomycetaceae. The record is from RNAcentral.